GAUGAAGAACGCAGUGAAAUGCGAUAAGUAAUGUGAAUUGCAGAAUUCAGUGAAUCAUCGAAUCUUUGAACGCACAUUGCGCCCGCUAGUAUUCUGGCGGGCAUGCCUGUCCGAGCGUCAUUUCAACCCUCAAGCCCCCGGGCUUGGUGUUGGGGAUCGGCGAGCCUCCGCGCCCGCCGUCCCCUAAAUCUAGUGGCGGUCUCGCUGUAGCUUCCUCUGCGUAGUAGCACACCUCGCACUGGGAAACAGCGCGGCCACGCCGUUAAACCCCCAACUUCUGAACGUUUGACCUCGGAUCAGGUAGGAAUACCCGCUGAACUUAAGCAUAUCAAUAAGCGGAGG
RNAcentral lists this unclassified non-coding RNA (342 nucleotides) under soil metagenome. Its description in RNAcentral is "partial contains 5.8S ribosomal RNA, internal transcribed spacer 2, and large subunit ribosomal RNA". The stretch from base 1 to 120 matches the Rfam family "5.8S ribosomal RNA", at positions 35 to 154 of the family's 154-position model. The record is from RNAcentral.